Mus caroli (Ryukyu mouse) is the source of this 2117-nucleotide non-coding RNA. NCBI's taxonomy places the organism in Eukaryota, Metazoa, Chordata, Mammalia, Rodentia, Muridae. The record is from RefSeq and is a predicted model, not a curated record.
GCUGAGCUGGGAAAGAGACAGAAGGGGUAUAUGGAAAAAUACAGACUAGAACUUUCUCAAAUUAGGUGACAGAUAGAAAAAGAAUAAAAUAUCUUCAUAUGCUAUACGUAGACACGCAGGCUAUCAGAGGAGAAAGAGAACCUCAACACACUCAAACGAAGUCAGACAAGAGUAUAUGAAGGAUUGCUAGUGAUGGAGCUGUCUUUUCUCCAGAAACCAUUAAGGUGGGGUCAGAGGAUGAGAUAUUCAAGAUGCUGAAGAAAAAGAAGACCAUGCCAGUGUUUCAUAAACUUCCCUAAGCAACAGAAAAGAAUGGGAAGCUCUUUCAGUUCAGGCUGAUAGAAAACAACAAAAAAGUUCAAAUCUUACUGCAAAGCUGUAUUUUCCUAGAGGUUAUGGUAUUGCAAAAGGAUUGAGGCAUAGGUGAACAAACAGAACUGAAGAGUUCAGAUGUAUGUUUUUGCUCAAGUAAGUUUUUACCAAUGCCCACAUCAUUUAGUAGGGAAAAUAGUCUUUUCAAACAUGCAACUGAACAACUGAGCCUUCACAUAUAAGAGGAUGUAAACAUGUAGAGGAUAUUUACAUACAGGGGAUGUUCACAUGUAGAGGAUGUUCACAUGUAGAGGAUGUUCACAUGUAGAGGAUGUUCACAUAUAGAGGAUGUUCACAUGUAGAGGAUAUUCACAUGUAGAGGAUGUUCACAUGUUGAGGAUGAUGUUCACAUGUAGAGGAUGUUCACAUGUAGAGGAUGUUCACAUAUAGAGGAUGUUCACAUGUAGAGGAUGUUCACAUGUCCAGGAUGUUCACAUGUAGAGGAUGAUGUUCACAUGUAGAGGAUGUUCACAUAUAGAGGAUGUUCACAUGAAGAGGAUAUUCACAUGUAGAGGAUGUUCACAUGUAGAGGAUGUUCACAUGUAGAGGAUGAUGUUCACAUGUAGAGGAUGUUCACAUAUAGAGGAUGAUGUUCACUUGUGGGGAUGUUCACAUGUAACAGGAUAAAGUGUUGCCACAGAACUCACUCUGUCUACAUGGAUUAACUUGCUAUUAACCAUAGUUAUAAGUGAUAGAAUUUAAAGUUUUAAAUUAAUAAAAAAUGUUACUAAAUAUUCCUGAUUGAAAAUCUCUAAAUGUUUAAUUGGUAAUAAUGUUUAAAUAAGAGAAUAGUUUCUUUAAUAUAAUAUCAAAAGUAUAAACAACAAAAUAGAGACAUUAGAUUUCAUCAAAGGAUGCACAUGCUUCAAAAGAUAUCAAUAAGAAAAUCAAAUGUGAUCUACAAAAUGAGAGUGACUGCCACACAUUUCUAACAUGGUUCCAUGGACCUUGUUACCAUCUGAAAUUCUGUCUGAUCUUCAAAGUAUCAGGCCAACAAAUAAAGAAAAAUAAGUUAGCAAAUUAUCAACUGUGAUAGAAUUUCAGUAAUUAUAAUUUUUAUAACUCUAAAUUUUUCUUGAGAUAUUUUAUAAUACUCAAAAAUAAUUUCUAAAAAGGGAAAACAACCCUUUGACAAGCAUAUUUUAAAAUACUGUUAGCUUUCCAGUUUGUAUUCAUUUUUAUCUGAAUUAAUUUGUGUGAAAAUACUGUACAUAAAAGCUUAAAUAUAUACCUUAAUGUAAGUAUUGAUUUCAUAUUUCUUUUUUAAUUAUGCUGGAUAACAUUACCAAGUUAUUGAGAUUAGUUAAUUGCAAUCAGUAGCUAUAAUUUCCCAAGGGUCAACAUUGCCAUACAUUAUAACUUGCUCAUGCCCAGUAAGCUAACUUUAAUUGCACAAUUAUUCCAUAUCUAUAUAUCUUCUGCCAUGAGUGACACAAAAUAAGAAGACUCUACAGGUCCGACUCACAGAAAAGUGUGUAGUUAUUAGGCAUCAGGUACCUUGCAAAAAUAACAUGACUCAAUGUAACAUGAUUUACACAGAUUAAUUCAUCGAAUUUUUCUCUUAAUGCCUGUAUCUUCAGGCAAUUGAGAAGCUCAACCUGUGAUCUGUGAUCUCCAAGGAGUUUAGUUGUGGGUGUGGUGCCUGGAUGCUCUUGUCUGCUCAUCGGUUUUCCAAAUUCCAAGUGCUCAUAUUCUGUGCACUUUUUGCCAGUUUGCCACUUAGUGUCACUUGUAGCGUUAUAAGC